CCGCGGGCUUCGCGCCGGCUCGCUUAGGCUCCGGCGCGGGCGCAGCCAGGACCCCGGCCCGGUGCGGAGCGCGCCCUCCCCCACGCCAUCUGGGCCUCCGGCGGCCCAGGCCCGUCCCGCCUCCCCACGGCCUUCCGCGGCUCGGUGUCGCACGCUGCCCCGGUGGCGGGCGGACGGCAGCGCGGGCCGCCGGUGAGCCGGGGCGCGCAGGGGCCGAGGACGCACGCGGCCGGACGGGCGGCGCGCGCUCCCCUCCCCCGCGGCCGGCAGCGCGAGCCGCCGUGACGUCACGGGCGCCCGCCUGCCCUGCGCUCCACCGGGCAGAGCGUGCGCGGCCGCCGAGCACAUGGGCCCGCGGGCCGGCGGGCUCGGGGCGGCCUGGCCCGGGAGGAGCGGCGAGGGGGCGCCAGCAAGGAUGGGCCUCGGCACCCCCGGCCCCCGGCGAGUGGAUUUCCACGCGGGAAGGAGGUUGGCGGCGCCGGUGACCUUCGGAGACACGGCUGGAUCCACCUUCCAGACCUCAUGCUGAAAAGAGAGCAGUUGACUCCCAGGAACAGGGUUUCUCCAGCAAGCUCUGUGCGACAUCCCUGCAUCACUGUCACCCAGGGACCUGUGGAGUAGACCCCGCCCCAGGCCUUCUGAUCAGAAUUGCUGCCUGAUCUUUUGACCAGAAAGAAAUUAAAAAGAUACCUGUCAUGCUGGCUGCGCCCGUCAGCUGCAUGCAGCUUCGUUCAAGGAUUUUUGGAGCCCUGUGGAUUUACAGUGAUACUCGGCCGCCUGGGGGAUCACGCUGGUGGACGCAUUCUCUGGAAUUAAGUAUCCCGGCACAUUUCUGGAUGCUGAAGGUGGUUUUAAGGAAGGCCCCGGCUGAGCACCUUGUGGAUCCCUGCAGCCUGGACGCCUGUGGGGGACAGAGGACUGAGCUCUCUGUCCUUCUCUCGGACUGAAAUGUUCGGUUGGGUCCCUGCCAGCUCCCUUGGGGGCUCCCUAUGAAACAAUCCUGUUACACCUGGGAUUUAGGUGCCUUCAAUCUGGAAAAAAUACAUAUCCGUUCAGCACUCCAGAGGGACUUCAGAGCUGUCCUUCCCUGAACUAAAGCUGGAGUAUUUUAGGAUUUGGAGAAUUAAGGAAGAUUAGCCCUGAGCUAACAUCUGCUACCAAUCCUCCCCUUUUUGCUGAGAAAGACUGGCCCUGAGCUAACAUCCAUGCCCAUCUUCCUCUACUUUCUAUGUGGGACGCCUACCACAGCAUGGCCUGUCAAGCGGUGCCAUGUCCACACCCAGGAUCCGAACCAGCAAACCCCGGACCGCCGAAGUGGAACGUGUGCACUUAACCGCUGCACCAUGGGGCCGGCCCCUGAUUUUGCCAAUUUUUUUUGAGCACAUGCUUCCUCUUCUAUACAAGAGAUCUUCCCCCCGAAUCUGUGUGACUACCCAUUUGUAGAGAGUUUCUGAAACGGUGAGGAAACUACUGCUCAGAGAUGUGAAAUAACUCAGCAGAGGUCACACAGCUAAUAAGUGACAAACAGGAAUGUCCAAGCAGUGAAGGUCAUUUCCAGUCGCCGAGUCUUUCACAAGCCCAUGUCUGGACCGGGACAUCUCAUGUCUCAUCGUGAGCAGGAGACUGGAAAAUAACUGGCCGGAGGGGAUAGGCCCAGCAGUAACACUGGCCCAGAGAGAAUUGAGUGCUUUUUCCCGGUGACAAGAAGACACACGCAGCUGGAAAAAGGAGCCUAGGCCGUCACCAUGUUCCCCAAAUAGCAGAACACCUCCCUCCUUCCCACCUUCUCUCCCGUGGCACAGAAUACGUUUUACCAGGGAUCGGUCACUGCUGAGCUGUCGUCACUUAAUGUGGCUUUGACAGAAUAGUUGGUCUGGAAAUCUUAUUUUCAAUUAAAUGACCUUAUUGAACUGCCUUGGUUUUGAAAAGAUUCCAUUAGGAUGGCUAAUUAUAUAGCAGUUGCUCCAAGGAGAUGCUGGCACUCCAUUUCAGCUCUUAAGUAAUUCGAAUCAAAUGCUGUCUUCUUUCCUCCUUGGAGCUGUGAGCGACCGUCUUCCUCUCACACUGCAGGCUUCUCGUGAGUUAUUUUUGGAAAUCCAAGUCAAAACAGCAAUUUUGGCAGAGGCCAUUUCUAGCCUAGCAGAGUAAACCGUAUGUACUGAUAAAAACAGCCGAAGAGUCAGUGCCUUUAAAAAGCAACUAAACCAUCUCCUUCUGUGGGGGUUAAAUUUGGGGGACCUCCAAACUGUCCUUUGUACUGUCCUAUUCCUUCGUGAGCUCUAACUGAAGUCAAAGACAUUGGAAUUCCUUUAAGAUUAGCAAAGCUUUGUCCGUUUGCAAACUGUCAUCAUGGUCAUUUUGUUUCAAGGUGGCAGGCCUUGGCAGAAUUUACCAGGCACUCUGUUUUGGCCUCUGGAUCUCCCCUGAAACGUGGAAAUCACUUUCUGUUCCCAUUCUGUGCUGUUUGCUUCUGUCACCAGAGCACUCGCGACAUUCCUCGCGACAUUCCUCGUUACGCAUACCAAGCAGUCAGAUCUUCCUGCUCACCCGUUAGAACGGAGCUUCUUGUGGCCAGGGGCUGUGUUUUUCAUCUUAUUUCCUUCCUGGCCCAUAAUAGAUGCUCAAAUAGUUGGAUGAAUAGAUAGACUAGAUAGAUGAAUGAAUAGAAUCCUAUUUCUAUUUUUCUCCUUUUUAAAAAAAAAAUCAAUCAUUUAUUACAUAAAUAGUAAAUGAAUGUUUUCACCUUGGGGGGAAAAAACAGUUUCCAAAUAAGGUUAAAGUCCUUUUUUUUUUUUCCAGUUUUCUUUUUUUUUAAAGAUUGGCACCUGAGCUAACAACUGUUGCCAAUCUUCCUUUUUCUUUUUUCCUGUUUUUUCUCCCCAAAUCCCCCCAAUACAUAGUUGUGUAUUUUAGUGGUGGGUCCUUCUAGUUGUGGCGUAUGGGACACCACCUCACUGUGGCCUGAUGAGCGGCGCCAUGUCUGUACUCAGGAUGCGAAUCAGUGAAACCCUGGGCCGCCGAAGCAGAGCACACGACCUUAACGACUUGGCCCCAGGGCCGGCGCCUGAAGUCCUUUUUUGAUCACUGCCCAUGAUCCUUGUUUCCCCAUCAUCUCUGCUUAGGUUAUCCCUUUGGAGCACAUCCUCACAGACCUCUCUAAUGCGUUUAUGUACACGCACAUACACACACACAGAGUACUGUUUUUGUAGACCUGUGAUAAAGAGAUUAUUCUGCAACUUGCCUUUUCCUACUCAGCAAUAUAUCAAGUGCUAUCCAUGUCAGCUACCUUAUUCUUUGUAACUGCUACAUAGUUUUAUUACGUUGUGUGGCUAUAAUACCUUUUAUGUGGACCAAAUAAAUAAAUUCCUUAUCUGUUUUCAUGCUCAUUAUAGUUCAGGAUCCCUUCUCCUGUAUAUGUUGACAAACUAACCCUGUCCACUGCUAUCUUUUGGUAGCUACAGUACAUUUCAUCAGAAUCAGCCAAUUGCCCUGGGGAUUUUGCUAAACCAGUAGACAGAAUCAUGAGAAAUGAAAUGAGGGUUGCCAGAGGGACCUGAAUUCCCUUCUCUGCAGAAGCUAGGGAAGUAGGUGCACUCUGCACUGGGAAUACCACAGGUCUGGAGAGCGAGGGAUGUUAGAUUUCCUCGGGCAGGUCAUUUCCUAUCCCUGGACCUUAUUUUUCUCAUCUGCCCAAUGGACUCAGUGAGCCUCUUUCAACUGUUAGACCCUGAAUAAUAGGGCUGACACAGUGCCACCAGAACGGAUAAACAGAAUAUAUUAACUCUCUCUCCGCUAUGUGGCGGGAUGGGAAAGGGGCACGUUAAAAAUACUUUUUACGGGCCGGCCCCGUCGCCGAAUGGUUAAGUUCAUGUGCUCUGCUUUGGUGGCCCAGGGUUUGGAUCCUGGGCGCGGACAUGGCACUGCUCAUUAGGCCAUGUUGAGGCAGCAUCCCACAUGCCACAACUAGAAGGACCCACAACUAAAAUAGACAACUAUGUACUGGGGGGAUUUGGGGAGAAAAAAAAAGCAGGGAAAAAAAUAGAUUGGCAACAGUUGUUAGCUCAGAUGCCAAUCUUUAAUUAAAAAAAUAUGUAUUUUAAUUAUAUUUUUAUUCUAUUUUAAUUAAGAUAAAUUUUAAAAUUUUAAAAUAGAGAUUCAGCCCAGAGCCCUUCACUGUGUUCAUGUCACAAAGAGUCUGUGAUUGGCCAGGAAUGCACUGCCUCUAGAUCUCACACUUCUCUCUUAUUCUUUUCUUAUCCAAUUAAAAUGUUUAUAUUUUUUCCUUUGCUUUGUGUGGUCUUUUUGUCCUAAGCAAGGCAAUCGGGUGUUGGGGAGAGAGAUUAUGGACUCCUGAGUUCGACCAUCAGGUUUGUCUAGUUCUAGCUGUGUGUUCUUAGACAAGUCACUAACCUUCUCUGGGUUUCCAUCUAUUAAUAUGGUGAUUCCAAAUUAGCCAAGUAUUCAGUAAAAAAAACAAAAACAAAAGGUAAAACCAGACUCGCUUGUGAAUGUUUCAUCUGGCAUUUAUGAACCUUGUCACCUGCGGAUAGAUCAUCUCGUGAAUUGAUGAGGCAUCCUAAGAGACCACCAAAACUCAUUAAAUAGUCUUGGUUCACAUGAGAACUGUGCAGCUGCUCUGGCCCCUGGUGACACACCAAGUGUCAGUGGGUUCUGAGGGAGGCCCAGGGAAGGUUCUGUGCUGCCAUGAUUCAUAGGUUGAGUUUCCCUCUAAGCUUCAAGGCUUUGAUCACGUGUCCCCUGCUUUGAGAUGCAGGACCACAAGGGUCACAGGAUCUGAUUCACACACUGGUGGGUUUCCCUUGGGGUCCCCAUCAGGCUUUCCCAUGUAGGGUGAGAGUUCUCGUCCCUUGUCUUGGCAUUACACAUUGAUCUGGAGACACCAUGGUUCUGCAGGUGAAAGGUUGGGGUGAAUGGGUGUGAAAAGUGCGUGGGAGUCACAGCCCCAAAAGGUCUCUGGGAGUUUGUCUUUCCUGCUCCCAACACUGUUUUGCAUCUCUACCGUGAGCUUCUGUUUCUGAGCACCCCUUGAGCUAAGCUGAUCUGUUGAGCCGAUCUGUGGAGGAAUGAGGCCACUGUGAGCUACCUGCCGGGGCAGGUGACCUCACCCCUCCCAGCCUCUGCUUCCCACCCCGCUGGGUCUUUAAUAUGAAAUGAGACUGCAGUAGGUGCUGAGCUCGCAUCACCUUCCCAUUCCGCUUUCUGAUAUGGAAAGCAUCAUUUUAUAGGCUCUGAAUCUGUGUUCUGAGCUUCCAAAAGCCUACUGUAAACAUUUUACACAUUAACCAAAAUAAAACAAGAAGGCAGCACAGUGAAUGGAGAGAAUAUUAUUAGCAUGUUACACAUCUUAAAUUGGUAAAAAAAAAAAAAAAAGGAAUGAUGGAUCAUUUUCAUUUACGACUCUCACUCCCUGCUAAUUUUUCAGCAGCUCUCUCCUCGUCUCAAUAAAAUGCUGGAAAUCUAGUUGGCAUUGUUGCAAGUAAAUGCAGAGCCAGUCUCGACUGUCGCGCUGUCUCUCCCUGUAUUUGAUCCUCAUCCAGGUGAUCGAUACCAUUUUCAUUCAUAAUCCGGAAACUUUAAGAAAUGAAUCAGCUUGACCUAUGAUUCACAGAUACUUGAUCUGAAAUACUUGAUGUGGUUGUGAGGGGGUGGGAGGUAGAGUCAGAAAUAAAUUCCGUUGACCCCGAAAGUCAGCUUAGGUGAACUAGUAUGGUGGGGGAGGGCGAAUUAUCAUCCUGUGGUUUGUGUGGAUGGUUCCUGCUCUCAGGGAGCUGCACUGUAUUGGGGGGACUUAAGGUGGCCACACAACCAGGGUUGAUGAAAGAAUUCCAGGUUAUGCCCGUUGCUGCAGCCUCUUAGACGGUUAACGUGCCCUUCCACUAGCAGAAGUGUCACAGUGUGGAAAUAGAGGGUUCUGAAGAGACUAGACUGGGAGUUCUUAAAGGUCAGAGGUCUCAUUUUAUUCAUAUGUGCAUCCCCAGCGCCUGGCCUCUCGUAAGCAGUUAAUAAAAGAAAGACUUGCUAGGUGGGUGAGUGAGAACGUAAGUAGAUUCUUCACCUCCACUCUCUGAAUUUGGUCUCUGAAUUUCUGUUUCCCGUUUAUCUUUGUGUGCUCGGGCCGCUAGGGUGCCUCUACUGCGUUUUGACUGAACCAGAGAUUUCAGAACUUCAGCUGGGAAUCGCUUUGGUUGCAUGUACACGCCCUGGUGACCUGUAGCUUCACGACUUGCGGUGCGUUAUCCAAAUGAGUUUAUAACUUACCGAAGUACUGAAAACAGUGGCUUCCAUGAUGUCUCCUCCCAAGAAAUGGUGGUGGAGGUGGAGGUGAUGCUAUUCUUGUUAGCUGUCUGUCUUUGCUGCCUCUUGUCUUUUCUCCCCUAGCUAGAGGAUUCAUAGACCUUUAAAUACAUAUGUAUUUCAAAAAUAUAAGAAAUUGGAAAAAGAGAGUCAGAAAGCUAUCCAUAAUGUCAUGACCCUUGGUUACAUAGUAGCAAUUAUUAUUAAUGUGUGACUUGUUUUAUACAAAGUUUUUUACAUAGUUGUUAUCUUAAGGAGUUUUCCACUUUUUCUUCCAUCUGUAUUUUUCUGCAAGCAUUGCCCAUGUUAUUUGAGAACCUAUUCAACUACCAUUUGUUACUUUUAUCCAUAUGGUUGCUGGUAGAUGGUUGUUUACUUUUUUCCCUUUCGUAAAAGAAAUUUUCCUUCUGGGCUGUCCUGUAUCUCAAGAAAAUCUCAAAAGUGAAAUUAUUGGAUCAAAAGAUAUGAAUGUUGUUAAAUUAUAUGUAUAUCUAUAUUUAAAUGAAUAGAAUUUAUUUUUUAGAGAAAUUUUAGGUUUACAAAAAAUUGCGUAGAAAGUACAGAGAGCUCCCACAUCCUAGCCCCACCCCCAUUCCCCAUAUUGUUAACAUCUUGCAUUAGUAGGGUGCAUUUGUUACAGUUCAUGAACCAAAACUGAUACUUAUGGCUAAAGUCCAUAGUUUACAUUUAGGAUUCUGUGUUAAAUGGUUCUUUGGGAUUUUCGCAAAUGCAUAAUGUCACGUAGCCACCAUUAUAGUAUCAUGCAAAAUGGUUUUACAGCCCUAAAAAUCCCCUGGGCCCCUGUUAAUCCCUCCCUCCCUCCCUCUCUCAAACCCUUCGCAACCAGUGAUCUUCCACUCUUUCCAUCGUUUUGCCUUUCCCAGAACGUCAUAUAGUUGGAAUCACACAGUAUGUAGGCUUUCAGACAGGCUUCCUUCACUUAGCAGUAUGCGUUUAAGAUUCCUCUCCGUGUCUUUUCAUGGCUUGAUGGUUCAUUUCUUUUUAGGGCUAAAUAGUAUUCCGUGUCUGGAUGUACUACACUUUAUCUGUUCACUUACUGAAGGACAUCUUCAUUACUUCUAAGUUUUGGCAAUUAUGAAUAAAGCUGCUAUAAAUAUUCGUCUGCAGGCUUUUGAGGGGACAUGUUUUCAACUCAUUUGGUUAGACACCAAGGAAAGUGAUUGCUGGAUCACAUGGUAAGACUAUUUCUGUAAGUAACUGCCAAAGCUUUCUAUUUUUUACGUUUAUUCAACAGAUUUUAGUUGUAAUACCAUGAACAUGGUUAAUCCUCCAUCUACACUUAGUGUUAUAAUGAACACCCUCUCCUCAGUCUUUUUUUGUGUGUGAGGAAGAUUGGCUCUGAGCUAACAUCUAUGCCAAUCUUCCUCUAUUUAUUUGGGAUGCUGCCACAGCAUGGCUUGACGAGCAGUGCUAGGUCCACGCCUGGGAUCCGAACCUGAGAACCCUGGGCCACCAAAGCAGAGCACAUGAACUUAACCACUAUGUCAACAGGCUGGCCCCCUCUCCUCACUUUUAAGCCUACCGCUACCAUGUCACACAGAGAUGCUCAGAGUGGUGUUUUCAUCUGGAUCCAAGUAUAUUGUGGCCACAAAGUCUCAUAGCAUAAAAAUAGCAACAACAACAAUAAUAAUCUUGAUGAUAAUAAUAGCCAAGAAUUAUUGAUUACUUAGCAUUGUCAGGCUCUUUACAUGUGUUAUUUCAUUUCACCAUUACAGCUACCCUCUGGUUAGGUACCAUUACUACCCACAAUUUGGAGAUAAGAUCGAGGCUUAGGGAGAGUGAAUAACUUGCACAAGUGUUAGUGGUAAAGCCAAGUGUGCGUCCAUCUAGUUUUGCUCGACUCUGCUCAGCAAUGUAUUAUGCCAGAGUUAAGAGCAUGAGAUUUAGAGUCAGAUGGACGUAGGUUAGUAUUCUGGACCUACCAUUUUGCCAGUCAUGUGAUCUUGACCUGGUGACUUCUAGCUGCAGUGUGCCCAUCUGUAAAAUGGGAUAAUAACACCUACCCAUGGCAAAUGCUGUCUGUUGUCUCCUCAAUAGCUAUGGCCUCCCCACCACACAGAACCAGGUUCAGGUGUUAGGGAAGAGGCCCCAGAUCUCAGGGAAGAGAGGCCCCAUCCCAGCCUCCUGAAAUGAAUCAAGAUUGGUUUAAGUCAGAUAUGGUAAUGGUGGGCAUGUUAUCUAGUUUUGUUGGGGUAAGCAUGCUAGGGAGGGGUUCUCUUCCCAAGUAAAAAGACAAAGCCCCCCAUAGGGGAAGCUCAUACUUAUCUUUUCUUCCUGCCUGGAUGUUGGGCAUGAUACCUGGAGGUGCAGCAGCCAUCUUGCAAGCCUAAGCUGACAAGCUAAUAGACUAAAAUGGUAGAGCAGAAAAGAUAGAAAGAGCCUAGGUCAUUGACAGCAUCGUUAAGCUGUUCGACCAGCCCAAGACAGAAGACUACCUCCACGCUUUUUGCUAUUGAAACAGUUCUUACUUGUUUAUGCCACCCCAAGCUGAGUUGUCUUCUCUUUGCAGCUGAGAGCAUUUCUAAUAGAUAAACAGUUUUCCACCAAAGCACAGGGUUGAGUAACUUAGUAUGAUGGUUGAGAGCCCAAAUUCUAGACUUGGAGUUCUGGGGUUUUAUUCCUAGUUCUUCCACCAACCAGCUGUGUGACCUGGACAAGUCACUGAGCUUCUCUGUGCCUCACUGUCCUCAUCUGUAAAAUUCCCAAUAAAUGUGUACUGGGAUCGAAUGAGGGAUAAUAGUGCUACUUACCUCCCAAGAUUAUUAUGAGCGUUCAUAAAAUGACUAAGUAUUUUAUAAAAUGACUAGAGCAUAGCCCGACACAUAGUAAGUGGUUAUACGCAUGUUUGUCAAAAAAAAAACAAUUAAAGAAAAGGAGUCACUAUUACUGGCUUCAGUUUGAACCCCGAUGUGAUCCUUGGGCCACAUGCAGUAUUCAAGCAGAAGCUUGACCCUUUCACUCCCCAGACUCAUGGAGCAUGAAGCUCCCACUAAAAUCUGUCUCAAAGCAGCAACAGGUGGUUUCUUUUUAACAGAAAAGAUUCCUUAGAGCAGGUUGACUUAAAACAGGAGGGGCUGUGAUAUCAAGGCGUGUCAGGGAGUGAAUGACCGAAAUACCCAAACUUGCCCAUGCAAAUGGCUCUGAGUCUCCCCUGACUGCCCUUUAGAAGGUUCUAGACUUCUGUGAACUCCUUUUUGAAAGGGUCUUUCCACCAGUGGCUUAUUCUUUUGAAUCUCCUUACACCUUUCUUGCUGGUGGCUGGUGGGUGGGAGUGGGGAGGAAGGGGUGACACCUGCCUGCGUUCGGGGCCCUUUUCCCUUGUGAGGGACGAGACCGCUGGCCAGUAUGUGAGGGAGCUGGCUGGACCUGGUCUCUCUCACUGUCUACUGCCCACAGUGCCAUCCUCUGUAAAGAGCAGAUUUGAAUUUGGGCAGCAACUCAGCAUUUUUUGGAAACCUAUCUCGUUUGUGAGCUUAAAGAUAGACGUGCCCAUUACCAAAUCCAGUGGAAUCUUCCUUCAAAAUAUAUGCCUGUUCCACUCCUCACCCUCGCCUCCAGAGACAGUCCACACCAGGCCACCUCCCCUUCUGCCUGGAUUACUGCCUCGUAACUGGCCUUCCCGUUUCUACCCUCCCCUUCCUUCUCCCUCAGCAGCCAGGGGACCCUUUAAAAAUGUCAACCAAAUCAUUGGACUCACCUGCUGAGAACCCUCCAAUGGAGUCCCAUCUCACUUGGAAUAAAGUCCUCAGUCCCUACUGUGCCCUACGAGGCCCUCCCUGCCACCCCCGCUCACUCUACUCUCCCCACUGGCCUGGCUGUCAGUCAAACAUACCUAAGCACAGGCUGGCCUCAGGGCCUUAGCACGGAAUGUUCCCCUUUUUCCCUCUAUACCUGCCUGGCUCAUUUCCUCACCUCAUUCAGAUCUCUGCUCAGAUGUCAACUCCCAGAGAGGCCUUCCCUGGUCACCCCCUCUAACACAGGUCCCCUCACCCCUCAUUUUCUGUCGUUAUCUAUAGUUCAUAGACUUGCUGACAUUAUUACAAAUUUGGUGACUUUCUGCCUUCCCCAUCAGAAUAUAAGCCCUACAAGGAAAGAGGCAUUGUUUUGUUCAUUCAGGUACCCACAGAACCCAGAACAUUCUGCAAUUGGUGCUCAGUAUAUAGUAAACUAGAUAAAGCCUUUUUUUGGACAGAAAUAAGGUCUGUCUGACAAAGUUCUAAGCCUGAUGUCUCUUGUGAACCUGCCAAGUUGACCCUGAAUCCACUUCCCGGAAAGCUCCAGAUACAUUCUGGAUGAUGGGAGCAACGCCGGACCAGUGUUGAACAUCCCAAAGCAAGUACUUUGAGAAUGAAAGUGUGGGAGCCUGGAUGACUCCUCCUGCAUUUGUCUAAAAAUCCUCCUUAGCACCUUUAGUUCCUUUUCUCCCUUCCUCUGCUCCUGGGCACCAGACAAGCAAUCCCAAAUGUGGUGUCUUUGCACCGGUCAGAUCAGAGUUCUCAUCUGGGGUGGUUUAAAAACAACAUGGCCCCAUUCCUUGACAUUCUCCCCUUUGAAAGAUGGGAUCUGGGUCCUUUCCUUGAGUGUUGUGAUGGCUUCAAGCAGUAGUCACACAAGGGCACGCAGCUCCUGCCUGGUUUCUUUGGGAUGCCAUUCUGGGGAAGUACUCAGACUCCGUGCUGAAGAAGCCACAUGUACAUGCCCUGGUCCAUGGUCUCAGCUGAGCUCGCAGCCAGCACCCAGCACUGGCCGACAGCCAUGCCGGCUGCCAUCUUGGAUGUUAGGACCAUUUGCACUUUCAAAUGACCACAGCCCAGUGACAUCUGACUACAGGGUCAUGAGAAACACCCAGCCAAGCCCUUCCCGAAUUCCUGACCAAAAACUCAUGAGUAACAUAAAACGAGUAUUGUUUUACAACGCUAAGUUUUGCAGUAACUUGUACUCAGGAAUAGUAACCAGGACGCCACCCUAACCCUUCCCUAUGGACUAAGCAAUCUUGAGCAAAUUUCCUUUAAUACUCUGGGCAUGAGAUUUCUCAUGUGUGAGUUUGGAGUGACAGUCUAUAUUUAUGUGGCUGUUGUUUAGAUCAAAAGCAAAUUUUGUCUCAAACCUAGCAAGGUUCCCAGCACAUCCUGCCUUUCCUCAAAUCUAAGAUGCCGUCCAUUAUACAACUCACACUUAACUUAUGUGCCACUAAGAAAGAAACAAAUGCUUUCUAUUAAACUACUGAAUGCCACUGGUUGUAGGACACACACCUGUCUGGGAGAUGUUGAAAUUUGCAAAGAUGUGUAUCUUAGGAUCUUUGAUUUAAAGAGAGAUUAACACAAUCAUCUAGUUAAGUACAGGCACAGAACAAGACCACCGAGAUUUGAGUUUGUGAGAAACGGGGAACUUAAAGCAAAUGUGUCUUUGUAUGAAAGUCUCUAAUUUGCUGUCCCAUUUUACACAAUAGAAUGCAAAGAUCAGUAGAGACAACCUUGUAGUUCAGGCAGAAAGCACCUUCCUCAGGCAGCUGUCAAAGGGUUAGAAUUCAAAUGACAUGGCAUCACAGUUAUUUAACAGAAAUGUAUCUUGCAGAAGAAAGGAAGUCAGAUCCCUAAGUGUGGCUGUGAGUAAUAGUUUUUCUUAGUGGAAACUCACCUCUAGUAAUUAGUAAUAGACCAACCCCCUUUUCUCUUUGGUUUUUGAAUCGUUUCUUUUUUAGAACAUUAACUAGUAGUUCCGUGAGAGAUGUCAGCCAGUGAGCAAAAGGGGUCUGGGCAGUGAGCAGGAUGGCAGGAGACCCAGGCCACAUCUAGUGGAGCAGAAACACAAAGAAGCAUCAGAGUGUCAGCAGACUUGAAGCUAAGCCUGAAUAUGGAGUGCCUCAUUUAGUCAGUUCAGCCACGCAGAGUGUUCCUAUGUUGGCCCUCAUUUGAAAUGUGAGCCCGCUUCAGGACCAGUGAAGUGGAAUGUCUUGCUCAAAGUUACAUAGCUUGGUUCAUUAGACAGAGAGCCUAUGCUCUUAGCCACAGUGCUGUGUGCAUCAAAAUGUUUGCAAAGACAUGGAAGUGGGUUCAUAUGAGACUCUAGCCGGCCCAGGACUCUCAGCACAGCUAUCUUUCCAGCCUUACCCAAACAGGGAAUUCCUUUUCAUACCUCCUUGCUUUUGCCAAAGGGAGUUUUCUACCAAUCAGUUUCUUCUUGCCUCCCCCUUUUCCUGGUGAAACCAAACCAUCCUUCAAGGCCCAGCUCAAAUGGGGCAUCUUAACCCUUGUUCCUACAGGGUGAUUCCUAGCUGCCCUGGACUCCCAGGGCAUUGUCCCCGGGGCCCCUUGGCUGGCCCUCCUGGUGGUGUUGGUGGUUUCUGUUGGUCACACCUAUGAGACUGGAAGUUUCCUGAGGCUCUGGAAUUAGACUGAGUCAGAAUCCCACCUCUACAACUUACAGCUUGUGUUCUUGGGCAAGUUUCUUAGCUUUCUGGGCUUUAAUUUUCUCAUCUACAAAAUGAGAAUAUCAACUUCCCAGGAUUGUCAUGAAAAUUGUGUGUUUGCUGAGAUGGCAUCGUGAGGGCUGAACACUGUUCUUAUGUGAGAGGCGCUUGCUCAGUCUCUGCGUGCGUCAUCUCCUUUCGUCUUCACGCCCACCCUCUGAGGUUGGUUCUUUUACCAUCAUGCCCAUUUACAGAUGAGGUGACACCGUAUGCUCAUGGCCCCACAGCCAGAAUGUGACAAAACUGGGCUCUAAUCUUACCUUUUAAAACUCGCCUCUCUUGACAGGAUCCCGGCGGAAACCUUCCAUGGACUGCAUUCUGAGGAGGUUUUGUCACGUACCAACCUCUUUAGAUGUGCUUUAAUUUGGGUCUUAAUUUCCAACUCAUUCUUAUCUAGGAGAUCUUUACCCUGAUUUGAAGGAAAAUGAUGCUGCAACCAGCUUAGUCUCAGUAGAAGGUUUACACACAGCAUGUGCCAAUAACAGGUACUUCCACCCUUGGGCUCUUCCGGGUGGUGACUUAUCAGCACCACAAUUGUCCAUUUAUAUUGUGAACCAAACACAUGGAUCAGACUAUUGGCCUUGAAAAGCUCAAGCACAGCCUUCAGUGAAAUUCAGUUUCCACUUCAUUCUUUAGUCCAAAGGUUGUGACAAUGGCAGUCUCCGUCUCCCUCGUAUGACUUGGCUGGUUGGGUUUCUCUCUGGUUGACUGUAUUCCUGGCCUCUUGGGGACCCUCUAAAAUGGCAGGCAGAGGAAAGGAGGCAUUUCUGUGUGCUGCCUUCAUUUGUUCCUCAAGGGGUUUCGGCUAAACUCCCUAAACAAAAUGAAUUUGAUUUUAUCUGCCAGAGAACAUUCUAAGUAAAAAGAUCAAGAGCCAUCACCCCAUUGAGCUCUCUCCCCACAUCUCGAGAAGGCUGGGCUCCUUGGAGUGGAGAGUGGGCUGGGACCCCAUUCUGGCAGCAUAGCGGAGAUCUUCCUGCCUCAGUGUGGAUCUGGUGAAUGCUGAGGGACUCAGGGUGGGCUCCGAGGUGGACUCAUUGUCCCAGCUCACUGUGCAGACAGGGCAGUAAGUGCCAGGCCUGGGACUGUGGCCGUAACCUUGGCCGGUGGUCGGCCUUUACUUUCAGCAGCAGCAGAGGGAUCGUAACUGUGGUAGAGAAGGAUGUCGAGGCAGAAAUUGUUGAGGAUCUACACUGUGUCAAGCACUGAGAGAGUUUCUUCAGAUAUUUGGGAUUUUGAACGUAUCUACUCUUCUAAUUUAUUUCCAUCGUCCUCAGAGAACAUGUUCUGUGUGAUUUCGCUCCUUUGAAAUGUAUUGAGAGUGAUCUCGUGGUUCAACAUAUGGCCUGUCUUGGGGAACGAUGCAUGUGAACUUGAAAAGAAUGUGUCCUCUACAGGUUUGGGGUGGCGUGUUCCAUAGACAUUGGUUGUGAAAGACCCAGGACUCCGCCUGGUACAGAACAAUCUUCACUCUGCGGCGCCCCCAGGGGAGGGCAAGUGGGAGACAUCCAUGUGGGUGAAGAGGCACGGCCAGCCCCCCAACCCCAGGUGGCAGACUCUAUGCCAACUUGUCCUCCAUGUGGCCCCCAUAAGAAGAAAGGCCAAGAACUCUAAAAAGACCUCUGAGGCCAAGAGAAAAUGUCCAGGGAUUUGCUCGACGGAGAGAAGCUGGCCCUUGGAGAUGAGGAGGGGUGUAUGUACGUAAGACUCUCUCUCCCCAGCUGCUCUCUCUCUUCUCCUCAGGCCUUCAGCAAACAUUUAUCAGAGACUUGCUCUUCCUGGUAGCUGUUCUAUGUGUGGGGAUGUAAGGAUCAACAUUGCCCCUGUCCUCCCAGAAUUUUCAGGCCACCGGGAAUACAGAAGGACAGAACGACAAGCCCCCGGAUUCCUAAGCCCCAACGAGAGGACCAUUCAGGAACCACUGAAGGCUGAGUUCACCAAGUGGCUGUAAGACAUGGAGUAUGUAACGUGGCAGCGUGGAGAACAGGGAAGACCCGGAGCUGGGCAAUGCUGGCCUCUACCAUGUCUGUCCACUAACACAUCAUCACUUCGGAUGGGACUGCUGAGGCCUGGUGAAAUCUGAGAAAGCCUUGUUGGAGUCUUGCUGUUGGGUAUGCAAGCAAAUUUUAUUCGACACAAAAAACAGGAGAGAAGUGUACUUACGCAAAGAGACUCUGAAGCACCUGCUGUAACAGACACAUCUCACAGGCUCCUACUUGAAGCUCAAAUAAGAUUCCCAGAUUCUUCAUGAAUUUGUUUUCUGCACUUGGCUUAGCAACUGACUGCAGAGACCUAAUGUGUUCUCACUUUUGCACGCACUCGUUGCUCUUGGGGGUAUGGUGGAAGCAGCAUGGAUGUUGGCUGGGGACAACUGGGCCUCUUGGUUCUACCAUUCAAGUUCAGAACUUCACUUGCCUGGAUUGGAAUGUGUGGAUAAGCACGCCUAGUUGUCAGAGCUAUGGAGGAACUUUAAUGGAAAAUUGUUGGAGUGAUGAAAGCGUGUUUGUCCAUUUCCACAAAAGAAGAUGGAAUAUAAGGAAACGCUCCCAGUCUGCCCUCAAGGAAGGCGUUAUUCAUCAGUGUGUGGCCCAUUCAUAGAGAACUCUCUUUUUCCACAUCUUGCCACCACAUGUAAGCAGAACAGGCCUCUAUCUACUAGGCUGUCAACUCCAUUUCUCAGUCAGUCCCCAGGUGGGAGAGGCAGGUUGCACAUCCUCGUAUAGAUGGAGGAAUAGAUAAGAGAGCUCAGAGACUGCAUGGAGAAGCAGCCAUUCUAGAACAUGAGUGGCUUCACUACAGACCUGAGCCUGAGCUACACCUGCAACUGAGUUUGGCCAAGAAAUCCUGUUCUCUUUGGGGAGGAGGACUGAUAAUUGUGUGCUUGCCCUCCUAGUAUGUGCAUUUUAGAUUCUCUUGAGCGUGGAAUUUAGCCCCUAAACUGGAUGGAGGGCUCAGAGUUGGAAAGGAGGAUGACGUCUGGAAGGGAUGGAAGAAGCAUCUGUGCAAAGAGGCGGGAGAGGGAACCAGGAGACCUGGUUGCUGGAUCAUGAUUUUGCCAAUCCCAGAGAUUCCUCUCCAGACACUUGUAACACUGCUUCAGGAAGACUUUCCCAACAUCUGGAGAAUUUCUGUGUUCCCUCUGCCAGUCUGGGAUGCCUAUGUACCAUGUUGCUGGGUCUGGGAUUCAGGCUGAAGCCAAAGGCAGUUAUCCUUUAAAGUAUCCAGCUGUAAAAAGCCACAGCCAUCCUCAUGCUCUGGGUUGCCCAGAAAUUCCAAGAAGUUUUCUUCUGCCUCACUGACGGGAACAGACUGGAAUGCACUACCGCUGAUAACAGAAGAGGCUAAAGGCCACGGAAGCAGGCAGCCCCAGGAGCAAAUCCUUGCGCCACCACUUUCUGCUCAAAGAUAUCGUACAAGUUACUUAGCCUUGGUCUUAGGUCACAUUUCCUGGGAAAGAGAAACUGAGACUGAAGUUUGUGAGGAGGCUAAUUGGGGAGUGAGCUCAGGAAGAACACUUGAGAUGGGGAGGAAGGCAGGAUUGUGCAGAGGGAGGAGUUGGGCCAUGAUGCAGUUUUAGUGGAAACCACCGGCAAUCUCACAGGGACCCUGGAGCUGGGAUGACCCUGCAGAGUUGUCCCAGUUGAGGAUAAGUGAUGGGGCUUUUGUACAUCCAUGUUGACUGGUCCCAGAUGCUGUCUGCCUUCUGAGAAAAGGGAUGAGAUGAAAGCUCCGUUUGGCCGAGUCUUGGGACAGCAGCCAGAGCUCCUGGUAGCAGGCAGAAUGGGUGCCUUCAGCCUGAGAGGGCACCUGGGUAGCCACUACAGCUUUGCCAACAUGCUCAAUAUAUCACAGGAUCAAGGAGGUGUCCUUGGUCACUUGACCUAAAAUUGCAACCCCUUAAUCUCAUAUUCCCUCUACCCUGUCUUUAAUCCAUAGUAUUUAUGGUGAACUGACAUACUUUGUACUAAUUUGUCUAUUGUCUUUCUGGAUCUGCUCUACAGUGUACUCCAAGCUACUUAAGAGCAGGGACUUUGUUUUGCUGGUGACUGUAUGCCCAGUUCCUAAAACAGGAGUUGGCAUGGAGUGAACUCUCAAUAAAUAUUUAAUUGAAUGGAAUAAAUGAAUAAAUAAAUAUAACACAUAGUGAGUGUUCACUAUAUGAGAAGCAUUCAAGUUCUCAGCACUUGCAGUAAGUAAUAUUCACAACAACUCCAUAGGGAGACCCUAUUAUUAUCCCCAUUUUACAGAUGAAGAAACUGAGGCACAGCAAGUUUAACUGUCUUGCCAAGGCCAUGCAGCUUAGAUGUCUUAUAUUCAAGAUCAGAAGAGGCAACAGGAUUCAUAUUCCAAGGCACUCUCCCCUCCUCCCUCUUCAGCAGACGCUCAGUCAGAGCCAGCUAUUCCUUCCCUUCCUUCCUUCCUCUCUUUGCUGUCUCCUGGAAUGCUUGUAUGGGAAUCACAGAGUCGCACGCUUCAGAUAUCUGGGGUGAAUCUUUGGUGUUUUAUGCAUUCAAAGGGUGAGAGCUUGGCUGAGCUCAAACUGCUGCCCUCUCUUCCCAUUUUCUCCAUACUGGUGCCUUAGAACCUGGUCAAGUCACACAACUUGGUAUUUUUUUCUUUAUUACUAUUUUUUUUUAACAGCUGUUGACAAAUGCAGAGGCUAUUAUGGUUUAUGGUGUUCCUUUGCAUGCACCAUCUCAUUUGAUCAGCUCAACAGCCCAGGGAUAUGGGCAGUGCAAGGAUGGCCACUGCAGUUUAUCGAUGAGGAACCAGAGGCUCAGAGAGGUUGCGUGAAGCUAUUUGGAAGAAGGGUUUCGUUUCUAGUUAUAAGUCUGCUGGUCAGGUUCAGUCUGUGGGUAGGAUUUUGUCUGCAUGUCAGUUUCCAGAGUACUCCACACAUCUCUCAUUCCUGGAUCUAGGCUGAAGAAGCAACAGGCACUUGCACCCCACUUCUCGUGGUGAAUGCAGGAGUGGCAGAGUGAGAUUGGAAACACAGAAAGCUCAAAACUGACCUCCUGUCACUUUCACCUACAGCCCAUUGGCCAAAAAGGAACCCUGAACUGGAGCCAGGAGGCCUUAUUCAAAUCACUGCCACUAACUAUACUUGUGACUGGUCAGGUUGAUUUCCCAUCUGUGUGACGGGAGUCAGAAAACAGUGGGAGACUGUGUUCUCUGUGCAAAGCCUGCCCAGCGCCCAAGAAAUGUGAGUCCCCUUUUCGUAGCAUGCCUUCCAGGUAUGACAUUCCAUGACAAAGUGAUGUAACCUGUCCCUUUUGAACUUCAUUCCUAAAUCUUCCUUCUCCAUUUUUUCUUCUUCCUUCUUUUUCUCUUGUUAUCCUGGAGGGAUCAUUCAGUGGUGGAGCCGGAAUGAUGGAUAUGCCAGGGUGGCUGAACUGUUGGCUCAUCUGGAAUUAUCCAGAUUGUGGGCUACUCAAUCAUGAAACAUUCAUUGAGCAUCUAAAAUUUGCCAGCGGAAGAGGUGAUCUUUCCCGCGUGUGAUGUAAAUUCAUUGCAGGAUGCAUAUACCAGAAAAACGCUACAAGGGGGCACUCCAAUGGACUCUAAGCUCAAAUUCAACAUUAAACCAAAAGGAGGUGAGGGUGCAAAUGAUGUCCGAAAAGGUUCUUAUUUUGAAUCAUUUACUGGAAACACCAUGGUCGCGUUAGAAACUUUUUUGUGAGUGAGAAGAAAAUUGCAAGACUGACCAGAUUCAAGAGUGAAACUCAUCUGUGUCAAUGUGUGUUGGCCCAAGUAAGACAGUCAUUCAAACACACCGCCCUUUUACUAACAAGGUGUGUGAGGCAGCUGAUCUCCUGCUCAUCCCCCAGUUAUAUCUGUGGGCUUUGUGGUGAAUGAACAUGGAUUGUCGUUUCAUCUCCUAAUCAACAAGAGAAUGAGUACUGGGCACAUCACAGCCUUCUUGUGCUUUGGGACACUGGACAGCACUUCAGCACUACCAUCGGGGGCCAUUUUAAACAGCGAACCAACAAAAAGCGCAAAAGCGCGAAAAAUGUGGUGCUAAAUAGAUCAGGAAAAGGACACCUGUUUACAAUAAGACAGCUGAAACAAGAAGGGAGAGCAUCACUCUGUUGGACUAUAGCUGGGGAUGCACACAACGCGUAAGGCAAAAUUUUGGUGCUCUGCACAAGUGUUAUGAAGGACCCUGAAAGAGCUGUGGCUAUUGAUUUUGCGGUUACAAAUAAAUUUCAGCAGGUAAGAAAAUACACAAAUAUGGAAUCCACGAGUAAUGAGGAUUGACUGUAUUCACCAUGUUUAACAGGGCUGAGUUAUAACAUCACACUUUGCCACUAGGUGUUACCAUACCACACAAGAGCUACUUCAACGCUGAGUUUCCUUCAAGUUCUCUAACAUAAACCAGGGCCCCGUUCGCUCACAUCUUUGUGUUCCUAGCUUUGUAGAACAGGCUUGCCUAAAUCAGUGGAUCUUUUUAAAAGUGGAAUGAGUAUACUAAGAAGACAGUGGGGAGCAAACUCUUUAUUUUACUACUACUACUAGGCAUCAGAAGUUGGGACUUCUCUGUAGCAAGUGUUUACGUCAUCGUCAACAAUUUGCCAAUGACGCAUAUAAAUUCAGUUUGGGGGAAGCAGUGAAAAUGGAAAGAGUUAAGCGGAGGGGGAAAAGGUUCAGGGAAGGUGCCUUCCAGGAGAUUUAAUUUACCAGGAGCAUUGAAAAGAAAGCAUCACCAUCGAGUGCCAGGAAUGGCUUUGCCAUCAGGCUGUAAGGGACAUUCAGCAGAGGCCCUGUGGGUUGUGUAUGAAGUUGUCCCCCAAGGGUUUGGAAAGUCCAGAUUCAUCCUGAAAGAAGACAUAUUUGCUUAGCUAUUUGCUUGCUGAGUAAACAUGACCACCACAGAACUGUUUUUAGCUGCUUCUCAUGGAGGGGCAGUCCAGCUGGUUUGAUGGCCCAGACAUGUGGUGCUGGGUGUGGGAUGGAUCUUCCCCGAAUACCCUAUUUUAUCUUCUUGCUUCACAGUUCCGGAGUCUUCAGUGGCUCCCAAAGGUCCACAGCCAAAUUCCUUGGAGUGUUACCCCAGAGACCGACACAAUACGACCUUGGCCUAUUUUUCACAUCUCCCCAUCCUUUCCCACUGUAGCUAGAAAGAGGCUUUUCUAUAUGGCUGCUAAACAAAAUGUCAUACACCUAUUUCCACAUUUUUGCACCCCAUUACCAACAUACGUGCACUUGAUUCCAUUUCCUCACCACCUGAGUAGGAAAACCCACC
Molecule: long non-coding RNA, 20048 nt
Organism: Equus caballus (horse)
Lineage: Eukaryota; Metazoa; Chordata; Mammalia; Perissodactyla; Equidae
Source: Ensembl